UCUGGUAAUAAUGGCGAGAAGGUCACACCCGUUCCCAUACCGAACACGGAAGUUAAGCUUCUCAGCGCCGAUGGUAGUUGGGACAAGCGUCCCUGUGAGAGUAGGACGUUGCCAGGC
This 117-nucleotide ribosomal RNA is filed under the name Neobacillus cucumis. The record is from RNAcentral. Lineage: Bacteria; Bacillati; Bacillota; Bacilli; Caryophanales; Bacillaceae.